RNAcentral lists this ribosomal RNA (1343 nucleotides) under uncultured bacterium. RNAcentral describes it as "16S ribosomal RNA". It matches the Rfam family "Bacterial small subunit ribosomal RNA", at positions 28 to 1378 of the family's 1533-position model. The record is from RNAcentral.
GACGAACGCUUGCGGCGUGCUUAACACAUGCAAGUCGAACGGAAAGGCCCUGCUUUUGUGGGGUGCUCGAGUGGCGAACGGGUGAGUAACACGUGAGUAACCUGCCCUUGACUUUGGGAUAACUUCAGGAAACUGGGGCUAAUACCGGAUAGGAGCUCCUGCUGCAUGGUGGGGGUUGGAAAGUUUCGGCGGUUGGGGAUGGACUCGCGGCUUAUCAGCUUGUUGGUGGGGUAGUGGCUUACCAAGGCUUUGACGGGUAGCCGGCCUGAGAGGGUGACCGGCCACAUUGGGACUGAGAUACGGCCCAGACUCCUACGGGAGGCAGCAGUGGGGAAUAUUGCACAAUGGGCGGAAGCCUGAUGCAGCAACGCCGCGUGCGGGAUGACGGCCUUCGGGUUGUAAACCGCUUUCGCCUGUGACGAAGCGUGAGUGACGGUAAUGGGUAAAGAAGCACCGGCUAACUACGUGCCAGCAGCCGCGGUGAUACGUAGGGUGCGAGCGUUGUCCGGAUUUAUUGGGCGUAAAGGGCUCGUAGGUGGUUGAUCGCGUCGGAAGUGUAAUCUUGGGGCUUAACCCUGAGCGUGCUUUCGAUACGGGUUGACUUGAGGAAGGUAGGGGAGAAUGGAAUUCCUGGUGGAGCGGUGGAAUGCGCAGAUAUCAGGAGGAACACCAGUGGCGAAGGCGGUUCUCUGGGCCUUUCCUGACGCUGAGGAGCGAAAGCGUGGGGAGCGAACAGGCUUAGAUACCCUGGUAGUCCACGCUGUAAACGGUGGGUACUAGGUGUGGGGUCCAUUCCACGGGUUCCGUGCCGUAGCUAACGCUUUAAGUACCCCGCCUGGGGAGUACGGCCGCAAGGCUAAAACUCAAAGGAAUUGACGGGGCCCCGCACAAGCGGCGGAGCAUGCGGAUUAAUUCGAUGCAACGCGUAGAACCUUACCUGGGUUUGACAUGGAUCGGGAGUGCUCAGAGAUGGGUGUGCCUCUUUUGGGGUCGGUUCACAGGUGGUGCAUGCCUGUCGUCAGCUUGUGUCGUGAGAUGUUGGGUUAAGUCCCGCAACGAGCGCAACCCUUGUUCACUGUUGCCAGCACGUUAUGGUGGGGACUCAGUGGAGACCGCCGGGGUCAACUCGGAGGAAGGUGGGGAUGACGUCAAGUCAUCAUGCCCCUUAUGUCCAGGGCUUCACGCAUGCUACAAUGGCUGGUACAGAGAGUGGCGAGCCUGUGAGGGUGAGCGAAUCUCGGAAAGCCGGUCUCAGUUCGGAUUGGGGUCUGCAACUCGACCUCAUGAAGUCGGAGUCGCUAGUAAUCGCAGAUCAGCAACGCUGCGGUGAAUACGUUCCCGGG